GACGAACGCUGGCGGCGUGCUUAACACAUGCAAGUCGAACGGAAAGGCCCUGCUUUUGUGUUGUUCUCGAUUGGCGAACGGGUGAGUAACACGUGAGUAACCUGCCCUUGACUUUGGGAUAACUUCAGGAAACUGGGGCUAAUACCGGAUAUGAGCUCCUGCUGCAUGGUGGGGGUUGGAAAGUUUCGGCGGUUGGGGAUGGACUCGCGGCUUAUCAGCUUGUUGGUGGGGUAGUGGCUUACCAAGGCUUUGACGGGUAGCCGGCCUGAGAGGGUGACCGGCCACAUUGGGACUGAGAUACGGACCAGACUCCUACGGGAGGCAGCAGUGGGGAAUAUUGCACAAUGGGCGGAAGCCUGAUGCAGAAACGCCGCGUGCGGGAUGACGGCCUUCGGGUUGUAAACCGCUUUCGCCUGUGACGAAGCGUGAGUGACGGUAAUGGGUAAAGAAGCACCGGCUAACUACGUG
Molecule: ribosomal RNA, 468 nt
Filed under: uncultured bacterium
Lineage: Bacteria
Description: partial 16S ribosomal RNA
Rfam family: Bacterial small subunit ribosomal RNA
Source: RNAcentral